GACGAACGCUGGCGGCGUGCUUAACACAUGCAAGUCGUACGGUAAGGCCCUUUCGGGGGUACACGAGUGGCGCACGGGGGAGUAACACGUGAGUAACCUGCCCACAACUUUGGGAUAACGCUAGGAAACUGGUGCUAAUACUGGAUAUGUGCUCCUGCUGCAUGGUGGGGGUUGGAAAGCUCCGGCGGUUGUGGAUGGACUCGCGGCCUAUCAGCUUGUUGGUGGGGUAGUGGCCUACCAAGGCGGCGACGGGUAGCCGGCCUGAGAGGGUGACCGGCCACAUUGGGACUGAGAUACGGCCCAGACUCCUACGGGAGGCAGCAGUGGGGAAUAUUGCACAAUGGGCGCAAGCCUGAUGCAGCAACGCCGCGUGCGGGAUGACGGCCUUCGGGUUGUAAACCGCUUUCAGCAGGGACGAAGCUUUUUGUGACGGUACCUGCAGAAGAAGCACCGGCUAACUACGUG
This 465-nucleotide ribosomal RNA is filed under the name uncultured bacterium. RNAcentral's name for it is "partial 16S ribosomal RNA". It matches the Rfam family "Bacterial small subunit ribosomal RNA", at positions 28 to 507 of the family's 1533-position model. The record is from RNAcentral.